RNAcentral lists this small RNA (56 nucleotides) under Parachlamydia acanthamoebae. Its description in RNAcentral is "P4". The record is from RNAcentral. Lineage: Bacteria; Pseudomonadati; Chlamydiota; Chlamydiia; Parachlamydiales; Parachlamydiaceae.
UGAUUGCAGAUCAAAUUUUCAAGGGUAUAAAGGCCCUUGAAAGAAGAUGUGCAAUA